UACGGAGGGAGCUGGCGUUGUUCGGAAUUACUGGGCGUAAAGCGCACGUAGGCGGCUUUGUAAGUUAGAGGUGAAAGCCCAGGGCUCAACCCUGGAAUUGCCUUUAAGACUGCAUCGCUUGAACAUCGGAGAGGUAAGUGGAAUUCCGAGUGUAGAGGUGAAAUUCGUAGAUAUUCGGAAGAACACCAGUGGCGAAGGCGACUUACUGGACGAUUGUUGACGCUGAGGUGCGAAAGCGUGGGGAGCAAACAGG
RNAcentral lists this ribosomal RNA (253 nucleotides) under uncultured bacterium. RNAcentral describes it as "partial 16S ribosomal RNA". It matches the Rfam family "Bacterial small subunit ribosomal RNA", at positions 524 to 776 of the family's 1533-position model. The record is from RNAcentral.